UACGGAGGGUGCAAACGUUGCUCGGAAUCAUUGGGCGUAAAGCGCACGUAGGCGGUCUUUUAAGUCGGGUGUGAAAGCCCUGGGCUCAACCCAGGAAGUGCACCCGAAACUAGGAGGCUAGAGUAUGGAAGAGGGUCGCGGAAUUCCCGGUGUAGAGGUGAAAUUCGUAGAUAUCGGGAGGAACACCAGUGGCGAAGGCGGCGACCUGGGCCAAUACUGACGCUGAGGUGCGAAAGCGUGGGGAGCAAACAGG
RNAcentral lists this ribosomal RNA (253 nucleotides) under uncultured bacterium. RNAcentral's name for it is "partial 16S ribosomal RNA". It matches the Rfam family "Bacterial small subunit ribosomal RNA", at positions 524 to 776 of the family's 1533-position model. The record is from RNAcentral.